Long non-coding RNA from Acinonyx jubatus (cheetah), 1553 nucleotides. RefSeq lists it as uncharacterized. NCBI's taxonomy places the organism in Eukaryota, Metazoa, Chordata, Mammalia, Carnivora, Felidae. The record is from RefSeq and is a predicted model, not a curated record. The transcript has 3 exons.
AGAGCAAACGUGAAGGGGAGCAGUGGGCUUGACGUCCAUUUUGAUAUCACUGAGGCCCAGGUAGAUCUUUCUGCUUUGAGAUGAACUGCUGUAGUAUAUCCUGCUGCUGGACAGAAGUGGAAAAUCAUCUGUGUUAUCAAGUUGGUGGUGAUUCAUGCUCAGCCAGUCACGUUAGAUCUGUCAGUUACAGGAACUCAUAUAUUAGGAGUGUUGAAAAUGGAAGCUGGAAGACAGAGCUUGCUUCUCAGAGUACUCCAACCUAAUUUAUAUCAGAAAAACAUAAAAGUCAUUUGGGCCAGAAUGGACUGAAAAACACCUGACCUGAUGGGUAACAAAUGCCUCACUGAAGCCUCAGGUCCUCUGUCAGAAUCAAGCAAGUGAGGACGGGACUGGACUGUCACACCCUGGCAUCAGCCUGUGGCUCCCCUGGGCCUUGAGAGCUGGUCCUCCCCCCAGUUCCCCGAGUGACUCCCCGAGGCCCGGCUGGGGCACUGCUCUCACACCAUCCCCCGAACCCUGCAGCUUCCCCCAGGCUUCUGGUCUUUUGUUUCUCAGACUCAAGCAAGUUGUCUUUUCUUAUCACCAAGUUCUGAUCACACAGUUCUCUUGCUCUUUCCUCUCCUCUCCCCAAGGCAGCUUCACUUCCUCCACCCAUGUUUCCAUCACAUCCUGAAAGGACCAGUUGAGAGAUUACCCACAUUCCAAGAAGUGAGGUUAACAGUCACGCAGUGUAGGUGAAGUGAUGAAAUGUCACUCCCCAAGGAAGAACAGACACAAGGGUCCUUGACCUAGGCCUACGGUGAAUUCCUUUGGCAACUGUGACCACAUCCUGUUGCUUUUCCCUUAAAAUUAUCAAGAUAAAUAUUCUUUCAGAGUCCCCAGUGCUCAAAUAACGCAUCAGCAAAUGGAGAUCCAGUCAAGUUUGUCUUUACAACUCCACGCUCUUUCUAUGAAGCCCACGUGUGGCUUCUAGAUCCAAAACCCCCCCACCCCCAGCUUCAGCUUUGUGCAUCCCACUUAGGAACUCUAGACCUUUCUUCCACCAAAUCUUAACACCUCCACUGCAUCUUCCCUAAACCUUGAUUCUCCUGGUUCUUGUCAGCGGGUACUGAUCUCUUGCUUCUGCCUAAUAACAGACUUUGAUUCAAUGGCGCCUUUUGUUCACUUUAUUGCAGCCCACUUCUGGGGUCCUUAAAAUCCAAAGCAUGACUCUGGCCAGUAGGUAGAUACUCUGAGACUGGUUUUGGCAACGGAGGAGGUGUGGGCAAGUGUUGGGUGAGCUGAGCUGAAUUGAGUAGUAGGUCUUAAUAGUAUCUUUCAAGUGAGACUUUGGCCACCCCACCCUUCUGCUGCAGUUGGAAAGAGAACAUCUAGAACAAGAAGCAGAUGAGGUCUAGACAACACCUCAGGAAGGCAACGAGGCCCUCCCUCUAACUUUUCGAAUACGUGGAAGAGAAAGCACACGAAGGUGUACUAAGAACCUAGCACACAAAUGCAAGGUAUUAAUAGGGGAAAGUCUUCGUGGGAGGAAGGGGGAUAUGGAAACUCCCUAU